GCCAGAGCACCGUUCCCCGUUCUCCUCAUUAUUGCAUAACAACAACUUUCCAGCCAGCCCUGGAUUGCUGGAGACCUCCAGUGGUUGACUCUCAGUCGACCCUAAUCCCAGCACUCCCCCGUGAAUGGCUGUAAUAACACCAGCUGUCUGUUACUCAAACUCUGACUGAGGAGGAAAAAGCACUGAUUAUCCAAAUACAGUCAUUAAAGGGGAAAUGUGUUUUUAGGACUGUCAGAGUGAUUAAUGAGGGCUAGCCGUCUUUGCAAAUGCACUUGUUUAGUCUAACUGGCAGCUUCUAUUUUCCUAUUGAUUUAUUGCAGCAGUUGCCUGGGCCUUGGUGUGUGCAGAGUCAGGGCACUUCACAACUGUGUGCUGUUUAAACAGGAAGAGCGACACCAUUUUGCCAGGGGAGGAGGGAGCAGGCUCCAGCCACCCCCUUUAGCUCAGCACUUCUGAGCCCAGGCCAACAAAGAAGACGCUAAAAUCUGCGGCCAGAAGAAGGAAAUGCCUUCUCUUCAGCGAGGUCUCUGAGAUCCCUCGUCAUUAGUAAAAUCCAGGUCUACAGGCUCUGGACCUAGCAAUCAGCCAUUAUGAGACUUGGACCACCUAAACCUUGCAUCUGUGUGAACAUCAAGGAAUUCCAUUUUGGAGGUCACAUUGCAAAGGACUGUCAUCUCCAAAACAGGUCAAUGAUUGCUUCCCAGAGGCUGGCCCAGUUGAGGAGAGAGAAUGGGUGUCCAACCUAAAAAAGCCCUGAGGCUCAGGCUGUUACAACGAGUUGAAGUGAGGAAGAGGGAUUUACUGCUCUUUAAGAAGUGUCCUCCCCUUCCAGGGACAUGCCCAGAGGCUUGGAGGUCUGGACAAUGUGUCUUGGGAUGGAUUGGAAGCCAGCAGGAGGCGCUGGGACCAAAUCCAUCAAGACUCAAACCCUCACAGAGGGCUCCAAUAAAAUUCUGGAUGAUUUCUCCAGU
Ornithorhynchus anatinus (platypus) is the source of this 971-nucleotide long non-coding RNA. RefSeq lists it as uncharacterized. The record is from RefSeq and is a predicted model, not a curated record. The transcript has 3 exons. NCBI's taxonomy places the organism in Eukaryota, Metazoa, Chordata, Mammalia, Monotremata, Ornithorhynchidae.